Molecule: non-coding RNA, 61 nt
Filed under: unclassified sequences
Description: RAGATH-18 RNA
Rfam family: RAGATH-18 RNA
About the family: Actinobacteria, Firmicutes, Fusobacteria, Thermotogae (1 example). Nearby to self-cleaving ribozyme genes
Source: Rfam by way of RNAcentral
CCCUCGGAGUACCAUACCAACGAAAGUAGCUGCGGCAAAAUCGGGUACGUUGAAAAGGGAA